AAGUCGUAACAAGGUCUCCGUUGGUGAACCAGCGGAGGGAUCAUUACAGAGUUGCAAAACUCCCAACCAUUGUGAACCUACCUCACCGUUGCUUCGGCGGGUGGCCCGCUAACGCGGCGCCGCGUCGGACUCUCCUUCGGGGGAGCCGGCAACCCGUCAGAGGACCGAAACUCUUAGUCAUCUUGGCCUCUCUGAGUAACUUAUACAAUAAGUCAAAACUUUCAACAACGGAUCUCUUGGUUCUG
RNAcentral lists this unclassified non-coding RNA (245 nucleotides) under Schizothecium sp. RNAcentral's name for it is "partial internal transcribed spacer region". The stretch from base 1 to 46 matches the Rfam family "Eukaryotic small subunit ribosomal RNA", at positions 1786 to 1831 of the family's 1831-position model. RNAcentral also lists the same sequence under 2 other names. The record is from RNAcentral. Lineage: Eukaryota; Fungi; Ascomycota; Sordariomycetes; Sordariales; Schizotheciaceae.